ACGGGAGGCAGCAGUGGGGAAUAUUGCACAAUGGGGGAAACCCUGAUGUAGCGACGCCGCGUGAGUGAAGAAGUAUUUCGGUAUGUAAAGCUCUAUCAGCAGGAAAGAAAAUGACGGUACCUGACUAAGAAGCCCCGGCUAACUACGUGCCAGCAGCCGCGGUAAUACGUAGGGGGCAAGCGUUAUCCGGAUUUACUGGGUGUAAAGGGAGCGUAGACGGCUUUGCAAGUCUGAAGUGAAAGCCCGGGGCUCAACCCCGGAACUGCUUUGGAAACUGUAGAGCUAGAGUGCAGGAGAGGUAAGUGGAAUUCCUAGUGUAGCGGUGAAAUGCGUAGAUAUUAGGAGGAACACCAGUGGCGAAGGCGGCUUGCUGGACUGUAACUGACGUUGAGGCUCGAAGGCGUGGGGAGCAAACAGGAUUAGAUACCCUGGUA
This 434-nucleotide ribosomal RNA is filed under the name uncultured Clostridium sp. Its description in RNAcentral is "partial 16S ribosomal RNA". It matches the Rfam family "Bacterial small subunit ribosomal RNA", at positions 341 to 792 of the family's 1533-position model. Lineage: Bacteria; Bacillati; Bacillota; Clostridia; Eubacteriales; Clostridiaceae. The record is from RNAcentral.